AAUAUACUCCCUCCGUCCCAAAACUCUUGUCUUAAAUUUAUCUAGAUACGGAUGUACCUAAUACUAAAACGUGACUUGAUACAUCUAUAUUUAGACAAAUCUAAGACAAGAAUUUUAAGACGGAGGGAGUAUGAU
This is a non-coding RNA of Triticum aestivum (bread wheat), 135 nucleotides long. The record is from Rfam. Lineage: Eukaryota; Viridiplantae; Streptophyta; Magnoliopsida; Poales; Poaceae.